This 22-nucleotide small nuclear RNA is filed under the name Arabidopsis thaliana (thale cress). RNAcentral describes it as "snRNA_00937". Lineage: Eukaryota; Viridiplantae; Streptophyta; Magnoliopsida; Brassicales; Brassicaceae. The record is from RNAcentral.
AACAAAAAGGAACAAAGAGAGU